Molecule: ribosomal RNA, 468 nt
Filed under: uncultured bacterium
Lineage: Bacteria
Description: partial 16S ribosomal RNA
Rfam family: Bacterial small subunit ribosomal RNA
Source: RNAcentral
GACGAACGCUGGCGGCGUGCUUAACACAUGCAAGUCGAACGGAAAGGCCCUGCUUUUGUGGGGUGCUCGAGUGGCGAACGGGUGAGUAACACGUGAGUAACCUGCCCUUGACUUUGGGAUAACUUCAGGAAACUGGGGCUAAUACCGGAUAGGAGCUCCUGCUGCAUGGUGGGGGUUGGAAAGUUUCGGCGGUUGGGGAUGGACUCGCGGCUUAUCAGCUUGUUGGUGGGGUAGUGGCUUACCAAGGCUUUGACGGGUAGCCGGCCUGGGAGGGUGACCGGCCACAAUGGGACUGAGAUACGGCCCAGACUGCUACGGGAGGCAGCAGUGGGGAAUAUUGCACAAUGGGCGGAAGCCUGAUGCAGCAACGCCGCGUGCGGGAUGACGGCCUUCGGGUUGUAAACCGCUUUCGCCUGUGACGAAGCGUGAGUGACGGUAAUGGGUAAAGAAGCACCGGCUAACUACGUG